AGGCCUAACACAUGCAAGUCGAGCGGAAACGAUGGAAGCUUGCUUCCAGGCGUCGAGCGGCGGACGGGUGAGUAAUGCAUGGGAAUCUGCCCGAUAGUGGGGGAUAACCUGGGGAAACCCAGGCUAAUACCGCAUACGUCCUACGGGAGAAAGCAGGGGAUCUUCGGACCUUGCGCUAUCGGAUGAGCCCAUGUCGGAUUAGCUUGUUGGUGAGGUAAUGGCUCACCAAGGCGACGAUCCGUAGCUGGUCUGAGAGGAUGAUCAGCCACAUCGGGACUGAGACACGGCCCGAACUCCUACGGGAGGCAGCAGUGGGGAAUAUUGGACAAUGGGCGAAAGCCUGAUCCAGCCAUGCCGCGUGUGUGAAGAAGGCCCUCGGGUUGUAAAGCACUUUCAGUGGGGAUGAAAGCCUUGGGAUUAAUACUCCCGAGGAAGGACAUCACCCACAGAAGAAGCACCGGCUAACUCCGUGCCAGCAGCCGCGGUAAUACGGAGGGUGCGAGCGUUAAUCGGAAUUACUGGGCGUAAAGCGCGCGUAGGCGGUCUGAUAAGCCGGUUGUGAAGGCCC
Molecule: ribosomal RNA, 568 nt
Filed under: uncultured bacterium
Lineage: Bacteria
Description: bacterial SSU rRNA
Rfam family: Bacterial small subunit ribosomal RNA
Source: RNAcentral